Parus major (Great Tit) is the source of this 891-nucleotide long non-coding RNA. RefSeq lists it as uncharacterized. The record is from RefSeq and is a predicted model, not a curated record. The transcript has 2 exons. Lineage: Eukaryota; Metazoa; Chordata; Aves; Passeriformes; Paridae.
CCUUACCGGGGCCUCCCCGCAGCCUUUCGGGGCUCGGCGGGGCCGUUUGGGGCCUGCCCGGGGCUCGGCGGCGCCGUUUGAGGCCUGGCCGAGGCUUGAGCGGAGCUUUUUGGGGUCGAGCCGGGCCCUUCCCGAGGCCUCCGGGGCCGAACCGGGGCAGAACCGGGGCUUUAAAGGCCUUUAACGGGAAGAACCCCCCGGUGCUCCCGCUUUUGAUUCUUUCUCUCCGGAAUUUGGGGGCGAUUUCAGCCGAAAUCGCUGUAAAAUCGGAGCUUUUUCGUUUUGUAUUUGUCUUAUUUAACAGCAGCGCUUUUCCCGUUUUUUUUCCCCCGGGAUUUCGGCUCCUCCCAAGGGUCAGAAAAUCCCGGGAUUUGAGGAGCGGGAUGAAAUUCCAAGGAUUUCUUCACUCCAGCGAGGAUUUUUUGGCUUUUUUACUGCGGUUUUUGCUUUGAGCGAACCCAAAUCCGUGUGAAAUCCGUGAUCCAGGGAAUUCCUCCCUCGGGAAUGCUGUCCCUGGAACCAGGAAUGACUUAAGGGUAACGCCGCACUUGGCUUUUCCUCGAUAAAUUAUUAUUUAGGAAUUUAAGGAAAAAGAAAAAGGGUUUUUUGGUUUUUUUUUUUGGAUAAAAAUCCGGUGUUUUCCGGCAAGGACUGCCAGCCAUCCCGGCUUCUGGAACUUUGGGAGCCUCCGCGGGGGAUUUUUUGGGGAGUUUUAUUUAAAGAAAAAAUUAAAACAAAAAGGAAAAUCACACAGAAACCCAAGGAGGAGGAAAAAGGGGAUCGAAGAUUCCUGAGGAACGCUCCCGCUCGGGGUUGCAGGGAUCCGGGCACGGCUGGGAUCGCUCCUGGCUGAGGGGUCAGCACUUCCAUAAAACCUCAAUUUUCCUGGAU